Molecule: ribosomal RNA, 716 nt
Filed under: uncultured Bacteroidales bacterium
Lineage: Bacteria; Pseudomonadati; Bacteroidota; Bacteroidia; Bacteroidales
Description: bacterial SSU rRNA
Rfam family: Bacterial small subunit ribosomal RNA
Source: RNAcentral
AGGCUUAACACAUGCAAGUCGAGGGGCAGCAUGGUCUUAGCUUGCUAAGGCCGAUGGCGACCGGCGCACGGGUGAGUAACACGUAUCCAACCUGCCGUCUACUCUUGGACAGCCUUCUGAAAGGAAGAUUAAUACAAGAUGGCAUCAUGAGUCCGCAUGUUCACAUGAUUAAAGGUAUUCCGGUAGACGAUGGGGAUGCGUUCCAUUAGAUAGUAGGCGGGGUAACGGCCCACCUAGUCUUCGAUGGAUAGGGGUUCUGAGAGGAAGGUCCCCCACAUUGGAACUGAGACACGGUCCAAACUCCUACGGGAGGCAGCAGUGAGGAAUAUUGGUCAAUGGGCGCAGGCCUGAACCAGCCAAGUAGCGUGAAGGAUGACUGCCCUAUGGGUUGUAAACUUCUUUUAUAAAGGAAUAAAGUCGGGUAUGUAUACCCGUUUGCAUGUACUUUAUGAAUAAGGAUCGGCUAACUCCGUGCCAGCAGCCGCGGUAAUACGGAGGAUCCGAGCGUUAUCCGGAUUUAUUGGGUUUAAAGGGAGCGUAGAUGGAUGUUUAAGUCAGUUGUGAAAGUUUGCGGCUCAACCGUAAAAUUGCAGUUGAUACUGGAUAUCUUGAGUGCAGUUGAGGCAGGCGGAAUUCGUGGUGUAGCGGUGAAAUGCUUAGAUAUCACGAAGAACUCCGAUUGCGAAGGCAGCCUGCUAAGCUGCAACUGACAUUGA